RNAcentral lists this ribosomal RNA (683 nucleotides) under uncultured archaeon. Its description in RNAcentral is "bacterial SSU rRNA". It matches the Rfam family "Archaeal small subunit ribosomal RNA", at positions 181 to 861 of the family's 1478-position model. The record is from RNAcentral.
CGUUGGGGUUAUGCUCUCCAGUGUCGCCCAAGGAUGGGGCCGCGACCGAUCAGGUUGUUGGUGAGGUAAUGGCUCACCAAGCCUUUUACCGGUGCGGGCCGUGGGAGCGGGAGCCCGGAGAUGGGCACUGAGACAAGGGCCCAGGCCCUACGGGGCGCAGCAGUCGCGAAAACUUUGCAAUAAGCGAAAGCUUGACAGGGCUAUCCCGAGUGCCAUCCGCUGAGGAAGGCUUUUACCCAGUCUAGAACGCUGGGGGAAUAAGGAGAGGGCAAGUCUGGUGUCAGCCGCCGCGGUAAUACCAGCUCUCCGAGUGGUGUGGAUGUUUAUUGGGCCUAAAGCAUCCGUAGCUGGCUAGGCUAGUCCCCUGUUAAAUCCACCGAAUUAAUCGUUGGAUUGCGGGGGAUACUGCUUGGCUAGGGGACGAGAGAGGCAGACGGUAUUUCCGGGGUAGGGGUGAAAUCCUAUAAUCCCGGGAAGACCACCAGUGGCGAAGGCUGUCUGCUAGAACGCGCCCGACGGUGAGGGAUGAAAGCUGGGGGAGCGAACCGGAUUAGAUACCCGGGUAGUCCCAGCUGUAAACGAUGCAGACUAGGUGUUUGAACGGCCACGUGCCGUUCUAGUGCCGCAGGGAAGCUGUUAAGUCUGCCGCCUGGGGAGUACGAUCGCAAGAUUGAAACUUAAAG